GACGAACGCUGGCGGCGUGCUUAACACAUGCAAGUCGAACGGAAAGGCCCUGCUUUUGUGGGGUGCUCGAGUGGCGAACGGGUGAGUAACACGUGAGUAACCUGCCCUUGACUUUGGGAUAACUUCAGGAAACUGGGGCUAAUACCGGAUAGGAGCUCCUGCUGCAUGGUGGUGGUUGGAAAGUUUCGGCGGUUGGGGCUGGACUCGCGGCUUAUCAGCUUGUUGGUGGGGUAGUGGCUUACCAAGGCUUUGACGGGUAGCCGGCCUGAGAGGGUGACCGGCCACAAUGGGACUGAGAUACGGCCCAGACUCGUACGGGAGGCAGCAGUGGGGAAUAUUGCACAAUGGGCGGAAGCCUGAUGCAGCAACGCCGCGUGCGGGAUGACGGCCUUCGGGUUGUAAACCGAUUUCGCCUGUGACGAAGCGUGAGUGACGGUAAUAGGUAAAGAAGCACCGGCUAACUACGUG
This 468-nucleotide ribosomal RNA is filed under the name uncultured bacterium. RNAcentral describes it as "partial 16S ribosomal RNA". It matches the Rfam family "Bacterial small subunit ribosomal RNA", at positions 28 to 507 of the family's 1533-position model. The record is from RNAcentral.